CCUCCCUUCCUUCCUGCCUGUUGAGAACACCUGCUUGCUUGUGGCAUCUUUUCUGUAUGCAAUGGUUGCAGAAAGAUACUAUCUUCAUACCAGAGGAUAUGAUGGAAGGGAGAGGCCAGUCAGCUGCUUCCUUUAGCACAUGAGCGGGCAGGCAGAAUCAGAAAGCCAGGACAUCCUUAAGUUACUGGCUACCUGUUUUGAAUACCUCAGAAGGCACUAAUCGUCUCUGGAAUUUCAGCAGUGGAAAGGGGAACCAAUAAGAACUACUGUGGAUAUGCUUCAGUAAUCUAAGCUUGAACGAAUACGCAAGGAUGUCACACGGCCUCGUCCCUUCUUUACCAAAGAUCCAAAGCCUCAAAGGGACACCCACAGAGAUGACAGGGGACCAAGAACAUGCACUGGCAGGGAAAACAAACAAAAAUAUUGCUGGCAGAAAUAAAGCAAAUUAUGAAAUG
Molecule: long non-coding RNA, 455 nt
Organism: Strigops habroptila (Kakapo)
Lineage: Eukaryota; Metazoa; Chordata; Aves; Psittaciformes; Psittacidae
Exons: 2
Source: RefSeq, a predicted model, not a curated record